This 68-nucleotide transfer RNA is filed under the name Marmota monax (woodchuck). Its description in RNAcentral is "tRNA.Ala". The record is from RNAcentral. Lineage: Eukaryota; Metazoa; Chordata; Mammalia; Rodentia; Sciuridae.
GGGUUGUGGCUCAGAGGUAGAGCACUUGCCUAGCAUGCAUGAGGCACUGGGUUUGAUCCUUAGAUCCA